This 251-nucleotide ribosomal RNA is filed under the name uncultured bacterium. RNAcentral describes it as "partial 16S ribosomal RNA". It matches the Rfam family "Bacterial small subunit ribosomal RNA", at positions 524 to 776 of the family's 1533-position model. The record is from RNAcentral.
UACGUAGGCAGCGAGCGUUGUUCGGAGUUACUGGGCGUAAAGCGUGCGUAGGCGGUGUUCCAAGUCUGUUGUGAAAUCUCCCGGCUUAACUGGGAGGGUGCGGCGGAAACUGGGAGCUGGAGUGCGGGAGAGGUAAGCGGAAUUCCUAGUGUAGCGGUGAAAUGCGUAGAGAUUAGGAAGAACACCAGUGGCGAAGGCGCUUUCUGGACUGUAACUGACGCUGAGGCAUGAAAGCGUGGGGAGCAAACAGG